AGAUUGAACGCUGGCGGCGUGCUUAACACAUGCAAGUCGAGCGGUAACAGGUGUAGCAAUACAUGCUGACGAGCGGCGAACGGGUGAGUAAUGCUUCGGAAUCUACCUUGUAGUGGGGAAUAACCGUGGGGAAACUCAAGGCUAAUACCGCAUACGUCUUUCGAGAGAAAGCGGGGGAUCGCAAGACCUCGCGCUAUUAGAUGAGCCGAAGUCGGAUUAGCUAGUUGGUAGGGUGACGGCCUACCAAGGCGACAAUCCGUAGCCGGUCUGAGAGGACGACCAGCCACACUGGGACUGAGACACGGCCCAGACUCCUACGGGAGGCAGCAGUGGGAAUAUGGACAAGUAGGGGAACCUGAUCCAGCGACGCGCGUGUGUGAAGAGGCUGGACGGGUUGUAAAGCUACGUUUUAGG
RNAcentral lists this ribosomal RNA (414 nucleotides) under uncultured soil bacterium. RNAcentral's name for it is "bacterial SSU rRNA". It matches the Rfam family "Bacterial small subunit ribosomal RNA", at positions 26 to 442 of the family's 1533-position model. The record is from RNAcentral.